RNAcentral lists this ribosomal RNA (906 nucleotides) under Triticum aestivum (bread wheat). RNAcentral describes it as "partial small subunit ribosomal RNA". The record is from RNAcentral. Lineage: Eukaryota; Viridiplantae; Streptophyta; Magnoliopsida; Poales; Poaceae.
AUGGAAUUGGGAGGGAAAUUAAAAGCAAUAAAGGCGGGGGCAGAGCUGCGCGGGUACAGGAACCACUGCCCUCCGGGGCUCCGCCAUCAAUGCCCGGAAUUACACUCCCCCAACUGCCUCCCUCCCAGUUAUUGCUCCUCCGCCUCCGCCUCCUCCACCUCACCUCCCCACGCCGCGGCGGCAACAGCAGCCCUCGCCGCCGAUCCCAACCGAAAACCACACGCUCCCUUCUUCCCCCGCUGUACGGCCGCGGCGCAGACGGCGGCCGGGCGGACGAUGACGGCGGCGACGGCGGCCGGAGACGGGGAAGAGGGAGGGAGGGGAGAGAUGGGGCCGGGGCAGAUGGGAGAGGAAGGCGCAGCUAAUAUCGUGGGGAGGGGUUUUGGUUGUUUAAGGAAGGCGUUUAAUGCUUUUGAAUUCCCCCUCCGGGCUCAAUUGGAAACUCUUUGCUCCGCCGCGCUGUUGCCUUGCCACGUCUGGCUCCGCUGGUUCCCAGUCAAGCAAGCGAGCGUGCGGCCGGCGGGGUGGCUCGGCUGGUGGACGGCGAGUCGUGGGCGGCGGGGGGGAGGGCUCUCUGAUUCUGAUGUUUUGUUUCUCCUGUCCAUCGUGGUGAGUAUGGAGAGUUUGGUCCUUGCGGACGGCACAGCGGCGGCCGGCAUGAUCAUGAGAAGACCUGAUGGCGGGGUGAUCUUCGCAGCUUAUCGCUAUUUGUUUAACUGUAAUGACGCACUGGAGGCGGAGUUACAUGCUUUGAUGCAGGGGAUGGCAUUGGCGCUGCAGCAUAGUGAUGGCCCGAUUAUUGUACAACUCCUCGGAGGCAUUGUCGGCUUUGAUGGGGAAUGGCUUGUCAAAAUCGGCAUAUGGACAUUUAGUAGCGGAGAUCAUGUUUAUUCCUUUGAAAAUUAA